Molecule: long non-coding RNA, 1219 nt
Filed under: Solanum tuberosum (potato)
Lineage: Eukaryota; Viridiplantae; Streptophyta; Magnoliopsida; Solanales; Solanaceae
Description: long non-coding RNA (STUB_LNC000656)
Source: RNAcentral
GUGAUUUGGAGCGUGCUCGGAAGGGUAAAACUCAAAUUUGAGUUACUAGUUGAAGUGUUUUGAGGCAAGUGACUUCUAAACUUUGUUAAACUCUUAGACUACACAUGACUACUUUCCUAAUUAUGUUGGGGAGUAAUGGGGAUUGAGGAUGAGUUUUAUUUGUUGAUUGAAAUUGAAAGAUGGGGAAUAAAACGAGCUAAAUGUGUUAUAUGUGACUUGAAUUUGUUGAAUAAGUCAUAUGAUAACCGAUAUUGAGGGGAUAGAAGAGCAUGAGUAGGCUAUGAUUGAUACAGACAUUGAUGUUGAAACAGAUGAUGUGUAAUACUAUGAUGUGAUCGUGAUAUGAUUGUGAUUGAUGACAUGUGCAUAUUCAUUAUUCAUCCCAUGUGUGAACUAUCUGUUGCAUGAGUUCUGAGACACUGAUAUGAGGAUGGAUGGAUAUGAGACACAGUUGAGACUAGCUCCGGCUAGAGAUAUAUGAGAUGGACUAGCUCCGGCUAGCGAUUUGGAUGCCGAUGGGAUCUGGUUCCGGCGGUGAUACAUGGUCCAUGUGUGGCCCCCAUGGGUUCUGAUUUGAGUAUUCAGCGCGGACUGAUUACUUCAACAGAUGUGUAUCGUAGGACAGACAUGCAUCACGACUACAUGACAUCAUUAUUAUGUAUCUUAGGACAGACAUGCAUCACAACUACAUGACAUCAUUAUUGCAUUUGCAUCGCAUUUGACUUCAUCUUUGUUUGUGGUGUGUGGAUUUACCUAUUUGCCCUCUUCACGUUGAUAUAUGAUCUAUUUGCUCUUAUAUGAGGAUAUGAGGUUGAUGUUGAGAUACUGUUGGAUAUAUCUGUUGAUUAUGAAUUGUGUAGUAUUGGUUGUUGGUUCGCUAUUAGAAUAAAGCUUCGGUGGUUCGGUUGGGAUUGAAAGAAGUUGUUUGUAGCUGCUAGUUUUGCUUAGUUUAGUGUUACUUGCGAGUACCUAUUGCUUUUGGUACUCACCCUUGCUUCUACACAGUUGUGUAGGUUGACAACUCUAUCAGAUCCGGCUUAUUACUCUUCUUCAGAUUAGAGCUUCCAGACUUACUUGAGAGGUAGCGGUUCAUUCCAGACGUGCCCUCAAGUUAUCUAUAUUUACUGUUCUGUUCUAUUCUAGAACUUUACUAUGAGACUUGUAUAUUUUAUUCAGAUUCUGUAUUAGAGGUUUGUACAUGUGACAACCAAUUCUGGGG